This 415-nucleotide ribosomal RNA is filed under the name uncultured microorganism. RNAcentral's name for it is "bacterial SSU rRNA". It matches the Rfam family "Archaeal small subunit ribosomal RNA", at positions 330 to 745 of the family's 1478-position model. The record is from RNAcentral.
GCGCACCAGUCGCGAAAACUUCACAAUGUGCGAAAGCACGAUGAGGGAAUCCCAAGUGCUUGCUCGUAAGAGUAAGCUGUUUCUCUGUCUAAAACGCAGAGAGAGUAAGGGCUGGGUAAGACGGGUGCCAGCCGCCGCGGUAAUACCUGCAGCUCGAGUGGUGGCCGCUAUUAUUGGGCCUAAAACGUCCGUAGCCGGUUUAUUAAAUGCCUGGGUAAAUCGGACCGCUUAACGGUUCGAAUUCCGGGUAGACUGAUAAACUUGAGACCGGGAGAAGCUAGAGGUACUCCUGGGGUAGAGGUGAAAUUCUGUAAUCCUAGGGGGACCACCAGUGGCGAAGGCGUCUAGCUAGAACGGGUCUGACGGUGAGGGACGAAGCCCUGGGGCGCAAACGGGGAUUAGAUACCCCCGUAGU